Molecule: unclassified non-coding RNA, 500 nt
Filed under: uncultured Glomus
Lineage: Eukaryota; Fungi; Glomeromycota; Glomeromycetes; Glomerales; Glomeraceae
Description: SSU rRNA
Rfam family: Eukaryotic small subunit ribosomal RNA
Source: RNAcentral
CCAAUAGCGUAUAUUAAAGUUGUUGCAGUUAAAAAGCUCGUAGUUGAAUUUCGGGAUUAGUACGCUGGUCGUGCCUUCGGUAUGUACUGGUGUUACUGGUUCCUACCUUCUGACGAACCGUCAUGUCAUUAAUUUGGUGUGGCGGGAAAUCAGGACUGUUACUUUGAAAAACUUAGAGUGUUUAAAGCAGGCUCGCGCUUGAAUACAUUAGCAUGGAAUAAUGAAAUAUGACGUUCUAUCCUAUUUUGUUGGUUUCUAGGAUUGACGUAAUGAUUAAUAGGUAUAGUUGGGGGCAUUAGUAUUCAAUUGUCAGAGGUGAAAUUCUUGGAUUUAUUGAAGACUAACUACUGCGAAAGCAUUUGCCAAGGAUGUUUUCAUUAAUCAAGAACGAAAGUUAGGGGAUCGAAGACGAUCAGAUACCGUCGUAGUCUUAACCAUAAACUAUGCCGACUAGGAAUCAGACGAUGUUAAUUUUUUAAUGACUCGUUUGGCACCUUACA